GUAGAGAGAGACAGACAGAGAGAGAGGUAGAGAGAGGUAGAGAGAGACAGAGAGAGAGAGAGAGGUAGAGAGAGGUAGAGAGAGACAGAGAGAGAGAGAGGGGGGGAGGUUCAAAGCCCAGUACAGGGAAAGUGGAAAGGGACACUGUAAAUCCAUUUGAUUAUUCUGCCCGUCCUCAGUCCAAGGAUUUUGAUGUAUUUUUCCACCCAAAACAAACCCCUCAAAGGAGUCAUUCCAACGUGUUCCACUCCAAAGAUGUCACAAACAGAAAAUGGCCGACCUAGAAUGAAGUAACUCACUCCUUGUUCUGCUCAGUAUGUCUUGUCAUUCACAAAACCUUCAGCCAGUGGUAGUGCAUUUGUCAAAGGAGGCCUGGAAACACGCCCAUCAGAGAGGACAGGAACAUGAGAGAAGACCCAUAGAGAAAGGAGGUCUGGAAACACGCCCAUCAGAGAGGACAGGAACAUGAGAGAAGACCCAUAGAGAAAGUGCAGAAGCCUUUUUCAGAGCAGAGCAGACAUCCGUACCCUUCUGAGUGAUAAUGUCAGUUCAACGAGACCAGGUCAGAAAGAGGAGGCAGGCAGGUCACGGAACGUGUGAUGGAUGUUGUUAAAGUUGUUGGUAAAUGUGGGCUCAGCUACAGAGGACACGAGACACACGAAUCUGCAUAUAACUCGGGAAAACAUGGCCGACAAUCAUAUUGUUACCAGUGGUAAUUACUUCCUGACUUGACAAAGAUGAUAUCAUUGACAAGAUGUCAGAGAGCAGUGAGUUACUGCGCCGCCGACUGGUUUCCUAGUGGUAAUUACUUCCUGGUUACUCUGCUAUGCUAUGACUCUUCCUCAACAGGCUGACGGUGGUAUAAAAUGCAGUUUAUAUCAUGUGAUACAUGUGAUAGAGGAGUAAUGUAAGAUAUGUAAACAUUAUUAAAGUGGCCUGAAUUACUGUUUCAGUUUCACGCCCCUGCUACAAGCAGUUUAGUCAGCUCAACUUGCUCAAUUUCCACAUGACUCAUCACUCAUCACUCAUGACUCA
This is a long non-coding RNA of Oncorhynchus tshawytscha (Chinook salmon), 1035 nucleotides long. Lineage: Eukaryota; Metazoa; Chordata; Actinopteri; Salmoniformes; Salmonidae. The record is from Ensembl.